RNAcentral lists this long non-coding RNA (723 nucleotides) under Homo sapiens (human). RNAcentral describes it as "HSALNT0390206". The record is from RNAcentral. Lineage: Eukaryota; Metazoa; Chordata; Mammalia; Primates; Hominidae.
CAGAGGUGUCCUGUUUAUCUGUGUGACUCGGCCCUCUUUGGGUCACAAAGGCCAGAUGAUCCAGCAGCUACCUGGAGGGUGGUUUAUGACAGCAGCCUGGUCCUAGUUCCCUUCUGCCACCAACAAGCUUGGCCAGCUUAGGCAGGCAACAGAAGUUUCACAAGCACCUACCUCACACCGGGCACUGAGCUGGAUACCAGGAAAUGCAGGGAUGUAAGACACAUCUUCCACCCUCGGGCUAGUGAAUGGACAACUGGGACCCCUGUGACGAGUGCUGAGAGGGAGCACCAGUGCUAAGGAAGCAUGGGGAAGGGGUUCUAGCCCAGCCUAGAGGUUGGGGCCAUGCCCCAAGGAAGGUGAAUUCAGAAUGGGACUUGAAGAAUGAACAGUAAUAGCUUAGGCCUGAGACAGAGGGAAGGGUGUUUGAAGCACAGGGAACAGUGCAUACAAAGGCCAGAAGACACAAAGACCUUGUGAGGAGAGCUGCAAUUAUUCUAGUUAGGAUGGCGGAAAUGACCAGGAUGAGGCCAGUACCGAGGGCUCUGUCUGCCACGAUGAGGAUAUUACUGUGUUCUCUAGACACCAGGGUGCCAUCAAAAGGCUUAGCAUGGCAAGGCACCAACUGUGUUUCAUUUUUUACUUUUUUAUUUUUAUUUAUUUUGACAGAGUCUCACUCUGUCGCCCAUGCUGGAGUGCAGUGGCACGAUCUCGGCUCACUGCAGC